GUUAUUUUGUAAAGGUACACAUAAUUCGACCAUGGUAGUUUCAUCUAGUAAGUAAUUUCAAAGUAAAUUAAAUCAGGAAAAUUUCGUAAUCAAUUCAACAAGAAUGCCUUUAAUGAACGACAAAAUUGGUUUAGGCUGAGAGAAUUUCGAA
Long non-coding RNA from Bradysia coprophila, 151 nucleotides. NCBI's taxonomy places the organism in Eukaryota, Metazoa, Arthropoda, Insecta, Diptera, Sciaridae. The record is from RefSeq and is a predicted model, not a curated record.